RNAcentral lists this ribosomal RNA (274 nucleotides) under uncultured bacterium. Its description in RNAcentral is "partial 16S ribosomal RNA". It matches the Rfam family "Bacterial small subunit ribosomal RNA", at positions 523 to 796 of the family's 1533-position model. The record is from RNAcentral.
AUACGGAGGGGGCUAGCGUUGUUCAGAAUUACUGGGCGUAAAGCGCGCGGAGGCGGUCCGCGUAGUCAGGCGUGAAAGCCCCGGGCUCAACCCGGGAAUUGCGCUUGAUACUGGCAGGCUAGAGGCCGGGAGAGGGUAGUGGAAUUCCCAGUGUAGAGGUGAAAUUCGUAGAUAUUGGGAAGAACACCGGUGGCGAAGGCGGCUACCUGGACCGGUACUGACGCUGAGGUGCGAAAGCGUGGGGAGCAAACAGGAUUAGAUACCCCAGUAGUCC